Molecule: long non-coding RNA, 295 nt
Organism: Oncorhynchus gorbuscha (pink salmon)
Lineage: Eukaryota; Metazoa; Chordata; Actinopteri; Salmoniformes; Salmonidae
Exons: 3
Source: RefSeq, a predicted model, not a curated record
ACCGUUAUAUGUCAGUAAGAAGCCAACGAAUGAGGUUCUACGCACAUCAGCAUCACCGCAGGUGUAUCUGCAGCAGCACUUUGGAAUUUACACCGUACGGCAUCGGCACCGCACAAUACCUGUGCGCACGAUCUACUUGCUUAUAUUCGCACAAAGUUGGAAUUGGGAUAGGGGGUGCUGGUGGUCUAUGAAUGUGGCCGAGCGUGCCCCCCACCACAACAUCUGCCUCUGUGCCUGUGGGGACUAUGCGCUGCACAACCCUGAAUGCACUGGCCGGUGGUUUGCGAGAACAGGG